GGCAGCAUGGCCGAGUGGUAAGGCGCUGGUUUUAGGCACCACUCGGAAAGGGCGUGGGUUCGAAUCCCACCGCUGUCA
RNAcentral lists this transfer RNA (78 nucleotides) under Heliconius melpomene (postman butterfly). Its description in RNAcentral is "tRNA HMEL005170". It matches the Rfam family "tRNA". Rfam says of the family: Transfer RNA (tRNA) molecules are approximately 80 nucleotides in length. Their secondary structure includes four short double-helical elements and three loops (D, anti-codon, and T loops). Lineage: Eukaryota; Metazoa; Arthropoda; Insecta; Lepidoptera; Nymphalidae. The record is from RNAcentral.